This 269-nucleotide ribosomal RNA is filed under the name uncultured prokaryote. Its description in RNAcentral is "partial 16S ribosomal RNA". It matches the Rfam family "Bacterial small subunit ribosomal RNA", at positions 524 to 792 of the family's 1533-position model. The record is from RNAcentral.
UACGUAGGUGGCAAGCGUUGUCCGGAUUUACUGGGUGUAAAGGGGGCGCAGGCGGGAAGCUAAGUUGGAUGUGAAAUACCGGGGCUCAACUCCGGAGCUGCAUCCAAAACUGGUUUUCUUGAGUGGAGUAGAGGCAAGCGGAAUUCCGAGUGUAGCGGUGAAAUGCGUAGAUAUUCGGAGGAACACCGAUGGCGAAGGCAGGUCUCUGGGCCACUACUGACGCUGAGAAGCGAAAGCAUGGGGAGCGAACAGGAUUAGAUACCCUGGUA